RNAcentral lists this long non-coding RNA (251 nucleotides) under Lathyrus oleraceus (garden pea). Its description in RNAcentral is "Pisum sativum (pea) long non-coding RNA (PSAT_LNC006362)". Lineage: Eukaryota; Viridiplantae; Streptophyta; Magnoliopsida; Fabales; Fabaceae. The record is from RNAcentral.
CUAUGUCUUGCGGAGGAUCUUUGAUUUCAUCUCGUUAUUACAGUUGGAAACCCCGAAGGGUAGGAAUCCGUCCAAUCGUCUUCUUCAAAAAGCAAAGUCAUGACAUCGUUGAGGUCAUAAGAGUUAUAGCAGAAUCGGAACCUAAUGGAAAUUCGUAUUCACAUUACCAUUCUUGUAAUACUCUUUUGUUUUUGUUUUUGCAAUUACCUCUUUCUAGGAGUUGUUUCCCAAUGUAAAUGCCUAUUUACAGG